GGGGCCAUAGCUCAGCUGGGAGAGCGCCUGCUUUGCAAGCAGGAGGUCAUCGGUUCGAUCCCGAUUGGCUCCA
RNAcentral lists this transfer RNA (73 nucleotides) under Gemmatimonadota bacterium. RNAcentral describes it as "Gemmatimonadetes bacterium (sediment metagenome) tRNA-Ala". It matches the Rfam family "tRNA". Rfam says of the family: Transfer RNA (tRNA) molecules are approximately 80 nucleotides in length. Their secondary structure includes four short double-helical elements and three loops (D, anti-codon, and T loops). Further hydrogen bonds mediate the characteristic L-shaped molecular structure. tRNAs have two regions of fundamental functional importance: the anti-codon, which is responsible for specific mRNA codon recognition, and the 3' end, to which the tRNAs corresponding amino acid is attached (by aminoacyl-tRNA synthetases). tRNAs cope with the degeneracy of the genetic code in two manners: having more than one tRNA (with a specific anti-codon) for a particular amino acid; and 'wobble' base-pairing, i.e. permitting non-standard base-pairing at the 3rd anti-codon position. The record is from RNAcentral. RNAcentral also lists the same sequence under 3 other names. Lineage: Bacteria; Pseudomonadati; Gemmatimonadota.